Molecule: ribosomal RNA, 720 nt
Filed under: Triticum aestivum (bread wheat)
Lineage: Eukaryota; Viridiplantae; Streptophyta; Magnoliopsida; Poales; Poaceae
Description: partial small subunit ribosomal RNA
Source: RNAcentral
AUGGCGACCGACAGGCGGAUCCAGCCGGCCGGGGGAGGCGGGUCGUCGGCCAGAGGAGGAGGGGGAGGCGUGGAGCCCGGGCUCGGGAGGCGCCUGCUGGACGUGCUGCGCACCGUCUACCACAUGCUGCGCCGCGGCCUCUGCCGCAAGCGCCUCAUGAUGGACCUCCACCUGCUGCUCGGCCGCGGCAAGCUCGCCGGCAGGCACUUCCGGGACCUCCUCGCCCACCAGCCGCUCGCCGGGGGCACCCGCUUCGGCGCCGCGGCCGCGGCCGGCGCCUCCCCGUCCGCGCUCUCCAUGUACCAGCACGACCCGAGAGACGUUGAGUUCAGCUGCGGCAGCACGCCGGUCCACGAGCAGGCCGUCUUCCCCUUCAAGAUCGGCCGCGGCCGCGGCCGGGGCAGGAGCUACGGCGGGCUGGACGCCGCCACCGUGGCGGCCGCCUUCGAGAUGAUGAACGCGCACGCUGCGGGCAACUCGGGCGGGGACACGCCGGGGGUGUCCCGGGCCACGCCGUCGCCCAUGCUGGCGCUCAGCCUGGGCCGCUGCCCGGCCGGGGCGCGCCAGCUGCGCGUCACCGACUCGCCGUUCCCCGUCGAGCCGGAGGGCGUCGACGAGCGCGUGGACGCCGAGGCCGACAGCUUCAUCAAGAGGUUCUACGAGCAGCUCAAGAUGCAGCAGUCCACCACGCCGGACAACUGCACCCGCCGCCGUGGCUAG